RNAcentral lists this transfer RNA (74 nucleotides) under Orbilia javanica. Its description in RNAcentral is "tRNA-Val". Lineage: Eukaryota; Fungi; Ascomycota; Orbiliomycetes; Orbiliales; Orbiliaceae. The record is from RNAcentral. RNAcentral also lists the same sequence under 6 other names.
GGUUUCAUGGUGUAGUUGGUUAUCACGCGACCUUAACACGGUCGAGGUCUUGAGUUCGAUCCUCAAUGAAAUCA